AGUGAGGGCUUUGUAUUUCUCUGGACCUGCUUUUUGGCUGAAAGUGUGCUUUCAGUGAGGCUAAUGGUAGACCUUUGUCUCUGUCCUGAGAUCUGACCACCUCAACUUGAUGGGUCUCGUGUGUAUUGAGAACCUGCAAGGUCACUGUCCUCCAACUUGAUGCCAUCUUUUUGUGAUAAUGGCAGCAUUGAACCUCAUUUCCUCUUUGGGAUGCUCUCAGCCAGUUCCCCAAGUUCCCGAAGACGAAGACGUGCUGGAGCUUGUCUUUGCUCUCUGUAGGUGGUUGCAUAUUUGAAGAAACCAAACUAGGUGAUGGAGAAAGAGACAGAUGGCCCUCUCUCUCGGGGAAGAAUCAGGUUUCUCUUCUGUUUGGGACUCAGUCUUUUUCAGACCUGAGAAGACAGGUCAGCUAGAAUUUAUGGAGCUCAGCAUAAUGGUAGGCAUUUAGAGUAGUUGCUCCAUAUUUGGUGGGACCUGGUAUGUGCUAUGCCGGGAGGCAGGCAUUGCAGAAGCCGUGAUGGAUAGUUCAUAGACCUUGCAUUUCUGAAUCCGGUAAUAAUUAAUCAAUUAAAUAUUUUCUGUCAAAAUUAAGACCCAUCUGAAACCUUUAGAAUUUAUAAUCUAAGUGAUGAGGUACUAUAAGAGCCUAGUAACAA
This is a long non-coding RNA of Chinchilla lanigera (long-tailed chinchilla), 656 nucleotides long. RefSeq lists it as uncharacterized. NCBI's taxonomy places the organism in Eukaryota, Metazoa, Chordata, Mammalia, Rodentia, Chinchillidae. The record is from RefSeq and is a predicted model, not a curated record. The transcript is spliced from 3 exons.